Molecule: ribosomal RNA, 635 nt
Filed under: uncultured Marinobacter sp.
Lineage: Bacteria; Pseudomonadati; Pseudomonadota; Gammaproteobacteria; Pseudomonadales; Marinobacteraceae
Description: bacterial SSU rRNA
Rfam family: Bacterial small subunit ribosomal RNA
Source: RNAcentral
CGCCUGGGGAGUACGGCCGCAAGGUUAAAACUCAAAUGAAUUGACGGGGGCCCGCACAAGCGGUGGAGCAUGUGGUUUAAUUCGACGCAACGCGAAGAACCUUACCUGGCCUUGACAUCCAGAGAGCUUUCCAGAGAUGGAUUGGUGCCUUCGGGAACUCUGAGACAGGUGCUGCAUGGCCGUCGUCAGCUCGUGUCGUGAGAUGUUGGGUUAAGUCCCGUAACGAGCGCAACCCCUAUCCCUGGUUGCUAGCAGGUAAUGCUGAGAACUCCAGGGAGACUGCCGGUGAUAAACCGGAGGAAGGUGGGGAUGACGUCAGGUCAUCAUGGCCCUUACGGCCAGGGCUACACACGUGCUACAAUGGCGCGCACAGAGGGCUGCCAACUCGCGAGAGUGAGCCAAUCCCUUAAAACGCGUCGUAGUCCGGAUCGGAGUCUGCAACUCGACUCCGUGAAGUCGGAAUCGCUAGUAAUCGCGAAUCAGAAUGUCGCGGUGAAUACGUUCCCGGGCCUUGUACACACCGCCCGUCACACCAUGGGAGUGGAUUGCACCAGAAGUAGUUAGUCUAACCUUCGGGAGGACGGUUACCACGGUGUGGUUCAUGACUGGGGUGAAGUCGUAACAAGGUAACCGUA